This 493-nucleotide ribosomal RNA is filed under the name uncultured bacterium. RNAcentral describes it as "partial 16S ribosomal RNA". It matches the Rfam family "Bacterial small subunit ribosomal RNA", at positions 29 to 508 of the family's 1533-position model. The record is from RNAcentral.
AGUGAACGCUGGCGGUAGGCCUAACACAUGCAAGUCGAACGGCAGCACAGUAAGAGCUUGCUCUUACGGGUGGCGAGUGGCGGACGGGUGAGGAAUACAUCGGAAUCUACUUUUUCGUGGGGGAUAACGUAGGGAAACUUACGCUAAUACCGCAUACGACCUACGGGUGAAAGCAGGGGAUCUUCGGACCUUGCGCGAUUGAAUGAGCCGAUGUCGGAUUAGCUAGUUGGCGGGGUAAAGGCCCACCAAGGCGACGAUCCGUAGCUGGUCUGAGAGGAUGAUCCGCCACACUGGAACUGAGACACGGUCCAGACUCCUACGGGAGGCAGCAGUGGGGAAUAUUGGACAAUGGGCGCAAGCCUGAUCCAGCCAUACCGCGUGGGUGAAGAAGGCCUUCGGGUUGUAAAGCCCUUUUGUUGGGAAAGAAAAGCAGCAGGUUAAUACCCCGCUGUUCUGACGGUACCCAAAGAAUAAGCACCGGCUAACUUCGUGC